This is a long non-coding RNA of Alligator mississippiensis (American alligator), 359 nucleotides long. RefSeq lists it as uncharacterized. The record is from RefSeq and is a predicted model, not a curated record. The transcript has 4 exons. Lineage: Eukaryota; Metazoa; Chordata; Crocodylia; Alligatoridae.
UUCUCUUAAGGAAUACAUCACAGCCUGCAUCCAUACACCUAUCCCACCAGGCUGCCUAGCUGAAAUGACACAUACCUACAGAACCUGAUCUCACUCCGGAGUUAAGAGGAAUGUCUGUCUUUGAAAUGAGGAAACUUCAACUCUGCUGGAGCACCUAUCAGCUGCAAAAGAUGUUUCCCAUAGUGCACGGCAUCAUGUGAAAUAUUGUAUGUUGAAGAAGCAAGUCCAUUGAGCACCAUCAGAAUCCUUUUCCAGUUGGAACAGCCUGCUUUAGAAGUUGAUAAGAAAAGAUCGACGUUUCUCUUGAGCCUCAUCUGCAUCUUUCCAUCUGUCAUCUUUGAUCAAACUCUUGUUUAAAG